This 730-nucleotide ribosomal RNA is filed under the name uncultured bacterium. RNAcentral describes it as "bacterial SSU rRNA". It matches the Rfam family "Bacterial small subunit ribosomal RNA", at positions 771 to 1501 of the family's 1533-position model. The record is from RNAcentral.
AACAGGAUUAGAUACCCUGGUAGUCCACGCCGUAAACGAUGUCGACUUGGAGGUUGUGCCCUUGAGGCGUGGCUUCCGGAGCUAACGCGUUAAGUCGACCGCCUGGGGAGUACGGCCGCAAGGUUAAAACUCAAAUGAAUUGACGGGGGCCCGCACAAGCGGUGGAGCAUGUGGUUUAAUUCGAUGCAACGCGAAGAACCUUACCUACUCUUGACAUCCAGAGAACUUGGCAGAGAUGCCUUGGUGCCUUCGGGAACUCUGAGACAGGUGCUGCAUGGCUGUCGUCAGCUCGUGUUGUGAAAUGUUGGGUUAAGUCCCGCAACGAGCGCAACCCCUAUCCUUUGUUGCCAGCGAUUCGGUCGGGAACUCAAAGGAGACUGCCGGUGAUAAACCGGAGGAAGGUGGGGAUGGCGUCAAGUCAUCAUGGCCCUUACGAGUAGGGCUACACACGUGCUACAAUGGCGCAUACAAAGAGAAGCGACCUCGCGAGAGCAAGCGGACCUCAUAAAGUGCGUCGUAGUCCGGAUCGGAGUCUGCAACUCGACUCCGUGAAGUCGGAAUCGCUAGUAAUCGUAGAUCAGAAUGCUACGGUGAAUACGUUCCCGGGCCUUGUACACACCGCCCGUCACACCAUGGGAGUGGGUUGCAAAAGAAGUAGAUAGCUUAACCUUCGGGAGGGCGUUUACCACUUUGUGAUUCAUGACUGGGGUGAAGUCGUAACAAGGUAACC